GACGAACCUUGCUAACGUUAUUCGGAAUUACUGGGCUUAAAGGGUGCGUAGGCGGUGCGGAAAGUCGGGUGUGAAAUCCCCCAGCUCAACUGGGGAAUUGCGCCUGAAACUGCCGUACUCGAGGAAGGCAGAGGUACGCGGAACUUAGGGUGGAGCGGUGAAAUGCGUUGAUAUCAUCUGGAAUACCGGAGGCGAAGGCGGCUCACUGGGGCUUUUCUGACGCUGAGGAACGAAAGCCAGGGUAGCGAACGGG
Molecule: ribosomal RNA, 253 nt
Filed under: uncultured bacterium
Lineage: Bacteria
Description: partial 16S ribosomal RNA
Rfam family: Bacterial small subunit ribosomal RNA
Source: RNAcentral